Molecule: long non-coding RNA, 414 nt
Organism: Haliotis rufescens (red abalone)
Lineage: Eukaryota; Metazoa; Mollusca; Gastropoda; Lepetellida; Haliotidae
Exons: 3
Source: RefSeq, a predicted model, not a curated record
CAACGCCUACUAGUGCGUCGGCAUUAUAUUUAGAUAGUCAUUCACGCAUAUUCCCACUUGACGUAGGUCACACAUCAUCAUUGUCGUCCUUGCGCGAGGAUUUCAGUGCACUGAAUAUAGUUGAGCCGAACAUAGAAGACUCUGAGAAAUGCUGCUACCAUGUAUUGCACGCUUGUGACAAUCUUUGCGAUAAACAUAAUAACUGCAAGAUCAGCAACACAGUCUUUAUGGGAGCAUCUAUUCUCGUGAAACAAGACCACAUUCUAAACUACUUGUUGGACUGUGUGUGCGAAUCUGUUUUUAUUGCAGUUGUCCUCGUUACCACUGCCUGCCUGUCGGGACAGUUCGGUCCAGAUUGUGACAGAAACUGUUCCUGUCAUUGUGCUCUGACAGAGACAACUAAAGUAAAGCAUU